GAUGAACGCUGGCGGCGUGCCUAAUACAUGCAAGUCGAGCGAACAGACGAGGAGCUUGCUCCUCUGACGUUAGCGGCGGACGGGUGAGUAACACGUGGAUAACCUACCUAUAAGACUGGGAUAACUUCGGGAAACCGGAGCUAAUACCGGAUAAUAUAUUGAACCGCAUGGUUCAAUAGUGAAAGAGGGUUUUGCUGUCACUUAUAGAUGGAUCCGCGCCGCAUUAGCUAGUUGGUAAGGUAACGGCUUACCAAGGCAACGAUGCGUAGCCGACCUGAGAGGGUGAUCGGCCACACUGGAACUGAGACACGGUCCAGACUCCUACGGGAGGCAGCAGUAGGGAAUCUUCCGCAAAGGGCGAAAGCUUGACGGAGCAACGCCGCGUGAGUGAUGAAGGUCUUCGGAUCGUAAAACUCUGUUAUUAGGGAAGAACAAAUGUGUAAGUAACUAUGCACGUCUUGACGGUACCUAAUCAGAAAGCCACGGCUAACUACGUG
Molecule: ribosomal RNA, 497 nt
Filed under: uncultured bacterium
Lineage: Bacteria
Description: partial 16S ribosomal RNA
Rfam family: Bacterial small subunit ribosomal RNA
Source: RNAcentral